UACGGGGGGGGUAAGCGUUGUUCGGAAUUAUUGGGCGUAAAGAGCUCGUAGGCGGCUUGUCGCGUCGGUUGUGAAAGCCCGGGGCUUAACCCCGGGUCUGCAGUCGAUACGGGCAGGCUAGAGUUCGGUAGGGGAGAUCGGAAUUCCUGGUGUAGCGGUGAAAUGCGCAGAUAUCAGGAGGAACACCGGUGGCGAAGGCGGAUCUCUGGGCCGAUACUGACGCUGAGGAGCGAAAGCGUGGGGAGCGAACAGG
Molecule: ribosomal RNA, 253 nt
Filed under: uncultured bacterium
Lineage: Bacteria
Description: partial 16S ribosomal RNA
Rfam family: Bacterial small subunit ribosomal RNA
Source: RNAcentral